Molecule: ribosomal RNA, 366 nt
Filed under: uncultured organism
Description: bacterial SSU rRNA
Rfam family: Bacterial small subunit ribosomal RNA
Source: RNAcentral
CGGAGGAUCCAAGCGUUAUCCGGAAUCAUUGGGUUUAAAGGGUCCGUAGGCGGUUUUAUAAGUCAGUGGUGAAAUCUGGUCGCUCAACGAUCAAACGGCCAUUGAUACUGUAAGACUUGAAUUACUUGGAAGUAACUAGAAUAUGUAGUGUAGCGGUGAAAUGCUUAGAGAUUACAUGGAAUACCAAUUGCGAAGGCAGGUUACUACAAGUGGAUUGACGCUGAUGGACGAAAGCGUGGGGAGCGAACAGGAUUAGAUACCCUGGUAGUCCACGCCGUAAACGAUGGAUACUAGCUGUUCGGUGCAACCUGAGUGGCUAAGCGAAAGUGAUAAGUAUCCCACCUGGGGAGUACGCUCGCAAGAGUG